AUUGAACGCUGGCGGCAUGCUUUACACAUGCAAGUCGAACGGUAACAGGCCUUCGGGUGCUGACGAGUGGCGAACGGGUGAGUAAUGCAUCGGAACGUGCCCAGAGGUGGGGGAUAACGCAGCGAAAGCUGUGCUAAUACCGCAUGUGAUCUGAGGGUGAAAGCGGGGGACAGGGCGGCAAUGUUUGGCCUCGCGCCUUUGGAGCGGCCGAUGUCAGAUUAGGUGGUUGGUGGGGUAAAGGCCUACCAAGCCGACGAUCUGUAGCUGGUCUGAGAGGACGACCAGCCACACUGGGACUGAGACACGGCCCAGACUCCGACGGGAGGCAGCAGUGGGGAAUUUUGGACAAUGGGCGCAAGCCUGAUCCAGCAAUGCCGCGUGCGGGAAGAAGGCCUUCGGGUUGUAAACCGCUUUUGUACGGAACGAAAAGGCUCUGGCUAAUACCUGGGGCUGAUGACGGUACCGUAAGAAUAAGCACCGGCUAACUACGUG
Molecule: ribosomal RNA, 492 nt
Filed under: uncultured bacterium
Lineage: Bacteria
Description: partial 16S ribosomal RNA
Rfam family: Bacterial small subunit ribosomal RNA
Source: RNAcentral